GUGUCAGCAGCCGCGGUAAUACGAAGGUGGCAAGCGUUACUCGGAAUUACUAGGCGUAAAGCGCAGGUAGGCGGUUCGAUAAGUCUUUUGUGAAAGCUCCCGGCUUAACUGGGAGAGGCCAAGGGAAACUGUCGGACUAGAGUGUGGUAGAGGGUGCUGGAAUUCCCGGUGUAGCGGUGAAAUGCGUAGAGAUCGGGAGGAAUACCUAUGGCGAAAGCAGGCACCUGGGCCAUCACUGACGCUGAGCUGCGAAAGCUAGGGGAGCAAACAGGAUUAGAAACCCUUGUAGUCC
RNAcentral lists this ribosomal RNA (292 nucleotides) under uncultured bacterium. Its description in RNAcentral is "partial 16S ribosomal RNA". It matches the Rfam family "Bacterial small subunit ribosomal RNA", at positions 505 to 796 of the family's 1533-position model. The record is from RNAcentral.